This 130-nucleotide small nucleolar RNA is filed under the name Echinops telfairi (small Madagascar hedgehog). Its description in RNAcentral is "Small nucleolar RNA SNORA20 (ENSETEG00000023482.1)". It matches the Rfam family "Small nucleolar RNA SNORA20". From Rfam's summary of the family: ACA20 is a member of the H/ACA class of snoRNA that guide the sites of modification of uridines to pseudouridines. Lineage: Eukaryota; Metazoa; Chordata; Mammalia; Afrosoricida; Tenrecidae. The record is from RNAcentral.
UCCCCCAUUGAUUUGCUGCUAUUGUCUGUCAGUGAUAUGAGCAGUUAUGUGCAUAGGAUAAAAUAUAUGAGACCCUUUCAAAUUGUGAUGAAAAUAAUCAUUUUCUCUUUUCUGCAUGGUCUGGACAUUG